RNAcentral lists this ribosomal RNA (446 nucleotides) under uncultured bacterium. RNAcentral describes it as "bacterial SSU rRNA". It matches the Rfam family "Bacterial small subunit ribosomal RNA", at positions 329 to 792 of the family's 1533-position model. The record is from RNAcentral.
UUCCAGACUCCUACGGGAGGCAGCAGUGGGGAAUAUUGCACAAUGGGGGAAACCCUGAUGCAGCGACGCCGCGUGAGUGAAGAAGUAUUUCGGUAUGUAAAGCUCUAUCAGCAGGGAAGAAAAUGACGGUACCUGACUAAGAAGCCCCGGCUAACUACGUGCCAGCAGCCGCGGUAAUACGUAGGGGGCAAGCGUUAUCCGGAUUUACUGGGUGUAAAGGGAGCGUAGACGGCAUGGCAAGUCAGAUGUGAAAGCCCGGGGCUCAACCCCGGGACUGCAUUUGAAACUGUCAGGCUGGAGUGCAGGAGAGGUAAGUGGAAUUCCUAGUGUAGCGGUGAAAUGCGUAGAUAUUAGGAGGAACACCAGUGGCGAAGGCGGCUCACUGGACUGUAACUGACGUUGAGGCUCGAAAGCGUGGGGAGCAAACAGGAUUAGAUACCCCGGUA